UAAUGGAGCAAUAUUUACACGACCCACGAGAUACUGGGCGUCCCGUCCGCUCUGCCAUACAUAAGCUUGAGAUCGGCAGAUUAGUAGUUGGGUGGGUGACCACCAGCGAAUCCCUGCUGUUGCAUGUU
Molecule: non-coding RNA, 128 nt
Organism: Lasallia pustulata
Lineage: Eukaryota; Fungi; Ascomycota; Lecanoromycetes; Umbilicariales; Umbilicariaceae
Source: Rfam